CGGGACGGGUGAGUAAUGUCUGGGAAACUGCCUGAUGGAGGGGGAUAACUACUGGAAACGGUAGCUAAUACCGCAUAACGUCGCAAGACCAAAGAGGGGACCUUCGGGCCUCGCGCCAUCAGAUGAACCCAUAUGGGAUUAGCUAGUAGGUAAGGUAACGGCUUACCUAGGCGACGAUCCCUAGCUGGUCUGAGAGGAUGAUCAGCCACACUGGGACUGAGACACGGCCCAG
This 232-nucleotide ribosomal RNA is filed under the name uncultured bacterium. RNAcentral's name for it is "partial 16S ribosomal RNA". It matches the Rfam family "Bacterial small subunit ribosomal RNA", at positions 100 to 334 of the family's 1533-position model. The record is from RNAcentral.